RNAcentral lists this ribosomal RNA (253 nucleotides) under uncultured bacterium. Its description in RNAcentral is "partial 16S ribosomal RNA". It matches the Rfam family "Bacterial small subunit ribosomal RNA", at positions 524 to 776 of the family's 1533-position model. The record is from RNAcentral.
UACGAAGGGGGCUAGCGUUGCUCGGAAUCACUGGGCGUAAAGCGCACGUAGGCGGAUCCUUAAGUCGGGGGUGAAAUCCUGGAGCUCAACUCCAGAACUGCCUUUGAUACUGAAGAUCUUGAGUUCGGGAGAGGUGAGUGGAACUGCGAGUGUAGAGGUGAAAUUCGUAGAUAUUCGCAAGAACACCAGUGGCGAAGGCGGCUCACUGGCCCGAUACUGACGCUGAAGCACGAAAGCGUGGGGAGCAAACAGG